CCCUCCACAUGGUCUAUGGUGGACCAAAGGCAAAGAGUGGUUCAUGGUGGACUGCAUGGAAGAUAAAAGGAUGGGUCCUAGAGCUUCACAUGGAAAGAAGGCUGAAGCAACAUUUGAAGCGAGACCUAAUGAUUUUUUUCAAACAAAGGGCGCAACGUGGCAUGAUGCUGGGCGUGCAUUAGAGAGAAAAUGCAGCAUGAUUGUGAAUGCACGCGGGAAGAAGGAAAAGCGGCCA
RNAcentral lists this long non-coding RNA (235 nucleotides) under Elaeis guineensis (African oil palm). RNAcentral's name for it is "long non-coding RNA (EGUI_LNC058123)". The record is from RNAcentral. Lineage: Eukaryota; Viridiplantae; Streptophyta; Magnoliopsida; Arecales; Arecaceae.